Molecule: non-coding RNA, 84 nt
Organism: Sphaerobolus stellatus SS14
Lineage: Eukaryota; Fungi; Basidiomycota; Agaricomycetes; Geastrales; Sphaerobolaceae
Source: the annotation of a GenBank genome assembly
GGUCGCGUAGUGUAACGGACAUUAGUUGCUUUCGCGCUUCUUAAGGAAGAAAUCAUCUUCCCGGUUCAAAUCCGGGCGUGACCA